GACGGAGGGUGCAAGCGUUGUUCGGAAUUACUGGGCGUAAAGGGCGCGUAGGCGGUCUGUUAAGUUCGGUGUGAAAGCCCUCGGCUUACCCGGGGAACUGCGCCGGAAACCGACAGACUCGAGUACCGGAGAGGAGGGUGGAAUUCCUGGUGUAGCGGUGAAAUGCGCAGAUAUCAGGAGGAACACCAAUGGCGAAGGCAGCACUCUGGGACGUGACUGACGCUGAGACGCGAAAGCGUGGGGAGCAAACAGG
Molecule: ribosomal RNA, 253 nt
Filed under: uncultured bacterium
Lineage: Bacteria
Description: partial 16S ribosomal RNA
Rfam family: Bacterial small subunit ribosomal RNA
Source: RNAcentral